Prionailurus viverrinus (fishing cat) is the source of this 843-nucleotide long non-coding RNA. RefSeq lists it as uncharacterized. Lineage: Eukaryota; Metazoa; Chordata; Mammalia; Carnivora; Felidae. The record is from RefSeq and is a predicted model, not a curated record. The transcript is spliced from 6 exons.
GAAAACUAAAUAGGAAUGUGAACAUGCAAACCUACUGGCUAGCACUGAGGGAGACCUGGAAAGGUGAAGUUCAUUUCCUCAUUGCACAAAGUUGUUGAGAGAAGAUAAAUGAUAUAAUGCCUGUAAAAGUGCUCAGAGAUCUUACAGAAAGAAGCCUGAUUUAAAUUUUUCAAGAUAAUUUCUGAAAAAGUUGAGAAUCUGAUGAACCCAUACGCAGCUAAAUGGGUGAAGACUGAUACAUGAGAUUUCCUCAAUAUGGCACUGCUCUCUUGAGAAGAACAAAGUCUGAGACUACAGAUAGGAAGGGCCUGUGUGAAUUUCUACUGCUGAGGAGCUACAGCAAAAAACAAAAAUCGGUUGCAUUGGACAUGAUAAGAUGUAACAAUAAACAUGGAACAGAGUGGCCCCAGGGAGAAAAUUGCAUUUUGAGCAGCUCUUACUGGACUCACUAAUGGUAUAUGAGGAGGCUACUCAAGAUGUCCAGUGGAGCCGUCCAUACCGUGGAGAGCUAAGUCUUCCUGCAAACAGCCAGCACCGACUUGCCAACUAUGUACUUAUGUAUGUGCCACACAUACAUGCUUUUCAAAGGCCAACCGUCUCUACAACUAUGAGAACACAUGGGAAUGAAGGAAAACACAGCCUGUCAAAGAAGGCAAGAAACACUGCCAAGAUUAUUUCCUUUUGUGUUGAUGACCUGUUUGAUUUUAAUGAAGCUAGUAGUAAAUGAAUAUAUGGCAAUAUAUGAAGAAAGAAUACAUAGAAGGAUAAAAUUAGAAAUCUUUUCUCUUUGCCCCCGGUAUCAGCAGUUUUCGAUAUACCCUCUGGUAUACAUUUCUAAGUGUG